This 914-nucleotide long non-coding RNA is filed under the name Bos indicus x Bos taurus (hybrid cattle). RNAcentral describes it as "lncRNA (ENSBIXG00005000421.1)". Lineage: Eukaryota; Metazoa; Chordata; Mammalia; Artiodactyla; Bovidae. The record is from RNAcentral.
UUUACAGGCUGUUAUCUCACAUGCCUUAGUGAAUAAAGGGGAGCAGGAUCUCGGGUCACAGUCCUCUCACACUGGGUAAGCUGGGCAGAGAGUAAAUAAGCAGGUCUGUUAGGGUUUUUCUGCCCUGAGAGCCUUGAUUUUUCAGGUUGUGUGGUGUUCUCCAGGAGAGUUUUUCAAGUAUGGUCAUUUAUUCCCAGAACAUUGUGUAAUUUCAGUGUACUAACAACUCUUGAGGUAAGUAUUAAUGCCAUACUUCUGAACCCUUGUUUUAUUUUAGAAUUACCUUGGAGCUUUAAGAACUGUGUAUGGGCUUCCUCUCAAAGACUGUGAUUAUAUUUAUCUCAGAGGUCCAGUGAUCUUUAUUUUUAACAGUGUCAUAUAGAAUUGCUACUCAUUGUGAAGCCCAUGGACUGAGGAGGGGCAUUACCUGGGUGCUGAUUAGAAUGCAGAAGCAAGCCUACUGUAUCGAAAUCAGUGUUUUACAAGCACUCCUAGGAGAUUUUUCAGGGAUAUUAAAUUUAAGAAGCGUUGCCCUAGAUCCUUAAGUGCAGUUCUGGCUGAAAACUACUGACUUAACUGGUGAAGAAGGUGAGAGGCUCAUGGCACCUUCAGUGACAACAUCCCCAAGUCCUGGUUUGGGAUCGCUAGUCACACUCUUAAUACAGAUGUGAUCCCUAGUCACACAAAUGGGGUCCAGCUCUUUUGCCAGGGAAACAAAACUCUGAGAAUCCAGGUGUCUCUUCCCAGUGUUUUGCCUCUAUGUAAUAUCCAGGUGAAAACCUGCUGACGUAGCUGGAUCAGCCAGCAUCAAGGGGUGAAAUCCCAGCUGUUGGAUUCAGUUAUGUCUUUAAUGAAAGAGCUUCCCACAAGUAAUGAUGCUCCUCCUCUGCUUUUUUGUCCACUUUGAGGUGCAC